GGUAAUAUGGCUGAGGAUAGGCAUUAGACUGUAAAUCUAAAGACAGAGUUAAUACUCUUUUUACCA
This 66-nucleotide transfer RNA is filed under the name Idiurus macrotis (long-eared scaly-tailed flying squirrel). Its description in RNAcentral is "tRNA-Tyr". It matches the Rfam family "tRNA". Rfam says of the family: Transfer RNA (tRNA) molecules are approximately 80 nucleotides in length. Lineage: Eukaryota; Metazoa; Chordata; Mammalia; Rodentia; Anomaluridae. The record is from RNAcentral.